Taeniopygia guttata (zebra finch) is the source of this 1282-nucleotide long non-coding RNA. RefSeq lists it as uncharacterized. The record is from RefSeq and is a predicted model, not a curated record. NCBI's taxonomy places the organism in Eukaryota, Metazoa, Chordata, Aves, Passeriformes, Estrildidae.
AGAGUGAGGACAGGCAGCCGGCAUCUCUUUGAGAUGGCUGCCAGCCCCACAGCUGCCAGCCCCACAGCUGCCUCCGCCCCAUGAUCACCCUUUCUACAGACACUCAGAGACUUCGUUCCCUGCCAGACCGCCCAAUGGGGAACUGGAGCUGGCGCCCACAGGGCAAUGCUCUGCCUGCAGCAUCAGCCUCACUGCGUCGGUAGGUUUUUUUCCCAGGGAAUCACCCCCAAAGUGGGUCAGAGCUGCCCGGAUGGACACUUGGGAACACGAGCUCCCACGGCAGCUCCCAGUGACCAGGGAACCCGAUCUGAGACUGCAGGAAGGGGUCAUUACCUCCGCACACAGCCUGAGUGACAACAACCCAGGUACCGCACCCAGCUCUGCUGCUCCUGAUAUGGUGAGAAUGUUGAAUGAGUGGGCAUAGGAAACAGAAAGGAAGGAAGAAAACAGAAAGCUCCAACAACUACAAAGACAAACCAGGAAAAAGCUGCAGCUUGGGCACACCAUCCUGCCGCCAAAAUGGAAAUUCUGGCCUGAGGCAGUGUGAAGGGGCGGCUUGUCCCCAUGAAGGGACAGGAUGGAGCUAAAGCUCUGUGUCCCGAACGGCAGAGUCCGCUGGAAGCCAGACAAAAGCUUGGGCGUGGGAUUCUGAGCUGUACGCCGGCCUCUGAGAGAAGAGAUGCGUUCCCAGGAGGCACCCGAUCCCAAGGCCGGGCUGGCCGCUGCCCGCUCCCACCGCCGGCCAGCCCUGGGGAGCGCCGCUGCACGCAGCAUCUUCUUUCGCCAGACCGACGGAGGAGAUCCUUCCUGCUUGUGGUUUCCCAGGAACCUGCUGUUCUUCGAUAAACAGGACCCUUGAGCUUCACUUCUGCCUUCGCAAACCAGAGUGCUGUGGAGACUGAGCUGAAGGCACCCCAGAGGCUACGAGCUUACUAAGAGGCACCUCCAGUGAACAUUUUUAAGGAUGUGCCAAUGUAUGAUAGUCAAAACAUUGCAUGGCAGCAGGAUGGUAACACCCAAAAUACAGAGGAAUGGCAUGUUCCGGCAAGUAGGCUGACCUCAGGCACUGCCACACUAAGUCAUUAGCCUAAUCAUCUGUUAACAACAGGUCAGCCAGAGAAUUUCUACUCAGCACUCCAGCCUUGGCUGCCAUGAUUCAUGUGUGCCUGAAGCAUCUUCCAAGCAGACAUUUGAUCUAGAUGCAGAGGAUGGAAAACUCACCGAUCCCUUUGGAAGUGUACCCCAGUGGUUACCUCCCUCAAAUAAAACCACCUUUGACUUA